This 1279-nucleotide long non-coding RNA is filed under the name Nicotiana benthamiana. Its description in RNAcentral is "long non-coding RNA (NBEN_LNC034782)". Lineage: Eukaryota; Viridiplantae; Streptophyta; Magnoliopsida; Solanales; Solanaceae. The record is from RNAcentral.
GACUGUUAAAAGAUGUUGUACUAUGUGACAUUUCAGAAUUUUAAGGGGGAGUAUUCCUUUUUAUGUUAUAUUUGUGCAUCCUAUAAAAGGAAUAGACCCUCACUCACUCACAUACACACUAUCAUCAGCAUUAGGCAAUCUAAAAGUCAUCUUUGAUACACAAGAAAUUCUGAAAAAAGAGCUUGAUUUUCGCACUAGUUUUUCUUGAUUUCCAAGUGGGUUUGUAAACAAAAAUAGCUCCAUGUUUCCUUAGUUCAUGAUCCCUGCUAUUUAAAGUUGGUUUUAGUCAAAUAUUCUAGGGUUUUUGUUGUUGUUCUAUUUGCUGCUGCUAUUCUGAGUGUUGCUGGCUUUCAUUUAAUCAUAAAUCCUUCUCCUUAAACUGUCUUGAGGUAAUCUACUACCAGCUCUAUGAUAAUUUUUAGGUGUAUGACAACUUUUAUGAGGAAAUAAUAGUUAUUAUGUUGAAGAAUCAGUUCAUUCGUUUGUAGAUUUCCAUUAUUAAUAUUUGACUGAUUAGCAACCCCCACUUUCAACCGAGAGUUUGUGAGUUCAAUCGAGAGUUUGUGAGUUCGAGUCUCCCCAAGAGCAAUGUGAGAAGUUCUUGGAGGAAAGGAUGUCGGGGUCUAUUUGGAAACAACCUCUCUACCAAGGGUAGGGGUAAGGUUUGCGUACACAUUAUCCUCCCCAUACCCCACACCUCCCCAUACCCCACUAAGUGAGAUUAUACUUGGUUGUUGUUGUAUGUUUGUAAACGUGGUUAAACAUUUGAAUUCCUGCUUAUUCUUUGCAAAUUUCUAAAGUAGUGCUAAGAGUAUCUGUGAUGCUUUUAUUUUUCUGUAUGAACAUAAGUGGACUGAAACCUUGUUGUGUUUUUUUUUUUUUUUUUGUAUCCAUGUUGAUUCACAAAUGAAGGAAGGUUAAAAACUGGAAUUUUUAAUUUUUAAAUUAGUUUUAUUUAGUAUAAAGCUGUUUUAAUUUGAUAAUGAUGUGAGUUUGCUAGACAUUUUGUUUUCUUAAAAUUUUUAAACUGUUCGGCUUACUAAAAUGAACCGGGCCAGGCAUUCUAACAUUCCAGUUUCUGUUCCCUUUAUGGAGAAUGGAAUUAUGGAUUUCAAGCAGCUGGGCCUAGAUAUUAAGCCCAAUAACUUGGCUCCAAAUUAUGAACUUAUUUUUAUCCUGAAAUUAAUGUAAUUAUUAUUUUGAUUUAGGGUAUUAGAAAUCCUGUUAGUAUAGUUAAUUUAAACUUGAAUGCAAUAAUUUUCUGACGAGAUCUUACUCU